Triticum urartu is the source of this 420-nucleotide non-coding RNA. NCBI's taxonomy places the organism in Eukaryota, Viridiplantae, Streptophyta, Magnoliopsida, Poales, Poaceae. The record is from RefSeq and is a predicted model, not a curated record.
CUAUAAAGCACCCCUUUGUUGCCAGCACAAAGAAAGAAGCAUUGACCCCUAUGAUCUAGGAGGACUCACAGAGCAACAAGGCUAUCUAUCAUAUUGGAGAGCAUUUCAUCGGUGUCAACUAAAUGGAUGGAAACUCAAGAUCUUCAUCAAAACGAGCCAAGUUGUUGGUCAUGAAGAUGAGUCCUCAGAUUAAGAAGCUCUCCAUCAAGCAACAGAAUGAGCGUUUGGAGAUUGAGAACAAAAUAAUGGCGAUUGAGAACCAAAAAAUGCGCGAGGAGUUGAGGACAUAUCGAUGUGCUGCUUGCUUGAAGAUUGAAAAUGCCUGCCUGAAAGUUGAGGUUUGCCAAAGUAGAUCCAAGACAUAUAACGAUAUACUAUAACACUUCCAUCGUGCAUUAUUUCUAAAUCAUGACUAGAAAA